AUGAACGCUGGCGGCGUGCCUAAUACCUGCAAGUCGAGCGAACGGACGAGAAGCUUGCUUCUCUGAUGUUAGCGGCGGACGGGUGAGUAACACGUGGAUAACCUACCUAUAAGACUGGGAUAACUUCGGGAAACCGGAGCUAAUACCGGAUGAUAUUUUGAACCGCAUGGUUCAAAAGUGAAAGACGGUCUUGCUGUCACUUAUAGAUGGAUCCGCGCUGCAUUAGCUAGUUGGUAAGGUAACGGCUUACCAAGGCAACGAUGCAUAGCCGACCUGAGAGGGUGAUCGGCCACACUGGAACUGAGACACGGUCCAGACUCCUACGGGAGGCAGCAGUAGGGAAUCUUCCGCAAUGGGCGAAAGCCUGACGGAGCAACGCCGCGUGAGUGAUGAAGGUCUUCGGAUCGUAAAACUCUGUUAUUAGGGAAGAACAUAUGUGUAAGUAACUGUGCACAUCUUGACGGUACCUAAUCAGAAAGCCACGGCUAACUAUGUG
RNAcentral lists this ribosomal RNA (496 nucleotides) under uncultured bacterium. Its description in RNAcentral is "partial 16S ribosomal RNA". It matches the Rfam family "Bacterial small subunit ribosomal RNA", at positions 29 to 507 of the family's 1533-position model. The record is from RNAcentral.